UGACGCUGGCGGAUGUUUACCCUGCAGUCGAACGGCAGCACGGACUUCGGUCUGGUGGCGAGUGGCGAACGGGUGAGUAUACAUCGGAACGUGCCCAGUCGUGGGGGAUAACGUAGCGAAAGCUACGCUAAUACCGCAUACGAUCUAAGGAUGAAAGCGGGGAAUCGCAAGACCUCGCGCGAUUGGAGCGGCCGAUGGCAGAUUAGGUAGUUGGUAGGGUAAAGGCCUACCAAGCCGACGAUCUGUAGCUGGUCUGAGAGGACGACCAGCCACACUGGGACUGAGACACGGCCCAGACUCCUACGGGAGGCAGCAGUGGGGAAUUUUGGACAAUGGGCGAAAGCCUGAUCCAGCCAUUCCGCGUGCAGGAUGAAGGCCCUCGGGUUGUAAACUGCUUUUGUACGGAACGAAAAGGUCCUGGUUAAUACCUGGGGCUCAUGACGGUACCGUAAGAAUAAGCACCGGCUAACUACGUGCCAGCAGCCGCGGUAAUACGUAGGGUGCAAGCGUUAAUCGGAAUUACUGGGCGUAAAGCGUGCGCAGGCGGUGAUGUAAGACAGAGGUGAAAUCCCCGGGCUCAACCUGGGAACUGCCUUUGUGACUGCAUCGCUGGAGUACGGCAGAGGGGGAUGGAAUUCCGCGUGUAGCAGUGAAAUGCGUAGAUAUGCGGAGGAACACCGAUGGCGAAGGCAAUCCCCUGGGCCUGUACUGACGCUCAUGC
RNAcentral lists this ribosomal RNA (721 nucleotides) under uncultured Acidovorax sp. Its description in RNAcentral is "bacterial SSU rRNA". It matches the Rfam family "Bacterial small subunit ribosomal RNA", at positions 31 to 752 of the family's 1533-position model. The record is from RNAcentral. Lineage: Bacteria; Pseudomonadati; Pseudomonadota; Betaproteobacteria; Burkholderiales; Comamonadaceae.